Molecule: transfer RNA, 71 nt
Filed under: Desulfococcaceae bacterium HSG7
Lineage: Bacteria; Pseudomonadati; Thermodesulfobacteriota; Desulfobacteria; Desulfobacterales; Desulfococcaceae
Description: tRNA-Gln
Rfam family: tRNA
About the family: Transfer RNA (tRNA) molecules are approximately 80 nucleotides in length.
Source: RNAcentral
AGGGGUGUAGGCUAAUGGCAAGCCCAAAGACUUUGACUCUUUGGAUAGUGGUUCGAUUCCACUCACCCCUU